RNAcentral lists this ribosomal RNA (472 nucleotides) under uncultured bacterium. Its description in RNAcentral is "partial 16S ribosomal RNA". It matches the Rfam family "Bacterial small subunit ribosomal RNA", at positions 28 to 507 of the family's 1533-position model. The record is from RNAcentral.
GACGAACGCUGGCGGCGUGCUUAACACAUGCAAGUCGAGCGGAAAGGCCCUUCGGGGUACUCGAGCGGCGAACGGGUGAGUAACACGUGAGUAAUCUGCCCUUGGCUUUGGGAUAACUACCGGAAACGGUUGCUAAUACCGGAUACGACAACCGUCUGCAUGGGCUGGUUGUGGAAAGUUUUUUCGGCCAGGGAUGUGCUCGCGGCCUAUCAGCUUGUUGGUGGGGUAAUGGCCUCCCAAGGCUUCGACGGGUAGCCGGCCUGAGAGGGUGACCGGCCACACUGGGACUGAGACACGGCCCAGACUCCUACGGGAGGCAGCAGUGGGGAAUAUUGGACAAUGGGCGGAAGCCUGAUCCAGCAACGCCGCGUGAGGGAUGACGGCCUUCGGGUUGUAAACCUCUUUCAGUACCGACGAAGCGCCGAUGAUGGUGGUGACGGUAGGUACAGAAGAAGCACCGGCCAACUACGUG